GACCUCGUAGCUCAGACGAUAGAGCAUCGUUCUAGAAAUACGAAGGUCGCGGGUUCGAAUCCCAGCCGCGGUCA
Molecule: transfer RNA, 74 nt
Filed under: Paramuricea clavata
Lineage: Eukaryota; Metazoa; Cnidaria; Anthozoa; Malacalcyonacea; Plexauridae
Rfam family: tRNA
About the family: Transfer RNA (tRNA) molecules are approximately 80 nucleotides in length. Their secondary structure includes four short double-helical elements and three loops (D, anti-codon, and T loops).
Source: Rfam by way of RNAcentral